GACGAACGCUGGCGGCGUGCUUAACACAUGCAAGUCGAACGGAAAGGCCCAGCUUGCUGGGUACUCGAGUGGCGAACGGGUGAGUAACACGUGGGUGAUCUGCCCUGCACUCUGGGAUAAGCCUGGGAAACUGGGUCUAAUACCGGAUAUGACCGACUGUCGCAUGGUGGUUGGUGGAAAGCUUUUGCGGUGUGGGAUGGGCCCGCGGCCUAUCAGUUUGUUGGUGGGGUAAUGGCCUACCAAGGCGACGACGGGUAGCCGACCUGAGAGGGUGAUCGGCCACACUGGGACUGAGACACGGCCCAGACUCCUACGGGAGGCAGCAGUGGGGAAUAUUGCACAAUGGGCGCAAGCCUGAUGCAGCGACGCCGCGUGAGGGAUGACGGCCUUCGGGUUGUAAACCUCUUUCACCAGGGACGAAGCGUGAGUGACGGUACCUGGAGAAGAAGCACCGGCCAACUACGUG
RNAcentral lists this ribosomal RNA (466 nucleotides) under uncultured bacterium. RNAcentral describes it as "partial 16S ribosomal RNA". It matches the Rfam family "Bacterial small subunit ribosomal RNA", at positions 28 to 507 of the family's 1533-position model. The record is from RNAcentral.